This 448-nucleotide ribosomal RNA is filed under the name uncultured bacterium. RNAcentral describes it as "bacterial SSU rRNA". It matches the Rfam family "Bacterial small subunit ribosomal RNA", at positions 355 to 825 of the family's 1533-position model. The record is from RNAcentral.
UCGGGAAUUUUGGGCAAUGGGCGAAAGCCUGACCCAGCAACGCCGCGUGAAGGAUGAAGUCUCUCGGGAUGUAAACUUCGUAAGAAUAGGAAGAAUAAAUGACGGUACUAUUUGUAAGGUCCGGCUAACUACGUGCCAGCAGCCGCGGUAAUACGUAGGGACCAAGCGUUGUUCGGAUUUACUGGGCGUAAAGCGCACGUAGGUGGAUACUUAAGUCGGAUGUGAAAGCCCUGGGCUUAACCUGGGAACUGCAUCCGAUACUGGGUGUCUAGAGUAUGGUAGAGGGAAGUGGAAUUUCCGGUGUAGCGGUGAAAUGCGUAGAUAUCGGAAAGAACACCAGUGGCGAAGGCGGCUUCCUGGACCAAUACUGACACUGAGGUGCGAAAAGCGUGGGGAGCAAACAGGAUUAGAUACCCACGUAGUCCCUGAGCGGGCUGGCAAGGCGCAU